GGCAGCAGAGAUAGCACAUUGAAUGCACCGGUUCCGUCAAUUCCCAACGGUUCUCUGACUUUAAGCAAUGUUGCGCGAAGUUAGUGUCCGGAUGGGUGACCAUCUGGCAAGCCGUAUGACGCUGGCU
Molecule: ribosomal RNA, 127 nt
Filed under: Diaphorina citri (Asian citrus psyllid)
Lineage: Eukaryota; Metazoa; Arthropoda; Insecta; Hemiptera; Psyllidae
Source: RNAcentral